CCCGCUAUCCCUGUACCCGCUCCUGAGGGCUCACACAGUUUUUUAACCCACAGUGCACACCUUUGGCGUUCUGACCUAUGCUGCAGCUUUAGGACGUGGGGCUUCACAUCCACAACGCAGCGAUCAAAUUCGGCAUCCAGCUCUUUCCAUGUUUCCUCUUCACCAUUCAUUUUGAUAGAUACCACAGCACAACCUCGCAGGCCGCGGCUCAGGCCGCGCUCUGAGGGGGCCUCGCGCUGGCCGGGCCGGGCCGGCGGCUCCCGCUCCCCCUCGGCGGGGAAAGGCCCGCGUGGAGCCGGCCCGGCCGAGCGGCCAACGGUUCAAACCGACCCCACCCCCGCUCCCGGCGGCCUCCGCUGACAGCACGGCCCGGAGCUUCCGUUUCCGCGGGCCGCGCUGUGCGGCGGAAUGGCCGGGCGGGUCGGGUCGGGUCGGGCCUGGCCGGGGUUCGGUUCGUGUCGCGCGGGCACGAACUGUGGUGGUGCUGCUCCGGAAGAGCUCCGACAGCGUUGGGUAGCGCGCCUGAAUUUGAUGUGGAUACUUCUGCUUGUGUGGCACGUGCUGUAGAAAAUGAAGUCCCGGGUUUAGGAGUGCAAAGGUGUAAACUGAAGGUGGUCCUGCUGUGCUGCCGAAUUACUGUCAGUGCAUGCAGUGACGGAUAGCAGCCUGACAGCCUGCAGCUGGCAGCAUUGCCACAGGCCGAGGUGCAGCUCCGGGCAGUCCCACACAUGGGUCUCAUGGCAGUGAAGGAGCUCUGUGGGAGGCUGGCGUGUCACUAACAAGUGGUGCAGUCACUGCUAUGCCCUGCGCUCCUCCACCCAACAAUGCAUCAUUUGUACACACGUAGAAUAUCGUGAGUUGGAAGGGACACAAAAGGAUCACCAAGUCCAGCUGCUGGUUCCUCACAGGACACCCCAAAAAUCCAGCUCUUUCUGAGCGUGUUGUCCAGACACUUCUUGAGCUCCAGCAGCUCGAUGCCACGACUGCUGCCAGAGCAGCCUGUACUAUGCCCGCCGCCCUCUGCUGAAGAACCUUUUCCAGUUAUCCAGCCUGGCCUUCCCCUGCCACAGCUUCACCACUCCGUCAUGUUCUAUUGCUGUUAUCAAAGCAAAGAUCAGCACUGCCCCUGCACUCCCCUUUGUGAGGGAGCUGAAGAUCGCAAUGAGGCCUCCCCUCAGUUUCCUCUUCUCUAGGCUGAACAGUAUAUCUAUGCAUACUGCUGUGAACACACAUUAAAAACAUAAAGAGGGCCCAGCAGAAGCUGAGGUGGCACCCAUGGAGAAGCAGGAGACGCCAGGCAUUCCAUGAGGUCCCCCAGGAACCUUGCACAGGGGACAUGCCAGGUGCCUCAGCGCUGUGCUGCAGCCUGCAUCCUAAAAGCAAGGACAUUAAAGAAGUGGAAGGUAAUUCUUGGGUGUGUUGCAUUCUUUAUUUUAAUUGCUGCUAGCUGGAUACCAGCUGGAAUUAUUUUUAGCUGUUACUGUUUGGACCAUGUCUUCAUUAUGAUUAAGAACUGGAAAUAGAUAGAUUUUUCCAACACAGUAAGACUACCAGGAGACUGACUUGCUCUGAUAGCUGAACUGCUGAAAUUUCCGCCUCUGAAUCAUCACCUACAAUGCCCAGAUUUGUCAUGGGAAUUUUGUAAUCAUAAUGAAACUGAUCUGCUCAAGUCAGUCCAACACAGAGGAGAGAGUCUGGUUACUGAGCAGGCUAUGGGAAGUUUGAUGGGUGUCACAACACAUCUCUUUCCAGGUAGGCUUUUCAAGGGCAGUAUAUUGGCUGGGUUACAUGGUGAGGCUUGCAUUUCUCUUCACUACCACAGGCCCUUUUUUCUGUUGUUUUAAUCUGAUAUUUGAAAAGGGGAUUUUUAAGCCAACUCUUUUG
RNAcentral lists this long non-coding RNA (1884 nucleotides) under Gallus gallus (chicken). The record is from RNAcentral. Lineage: Eukaryota; Metazoa; Chordata; Aves; Galliformes; Phasianidae.